RNAcentral lists this ribosomal RNA (502 nucleotides) under uncultured bacterium. RNAcentral describes it as "partial 16S ribosomal RNA". It matches the Rfam family "Bacterial small subunit ribosomal RNA", at positions 30 to 523 of the family's 1533-position model. The record is from RNAcentral.
AUUGAACGCUGGCGGCAUGCUUUACACAUGCAAGUCGAACGGCAGCAUGGGUGCUUGCACCUGAUGGCGAGUGGCGAACGGGUGAGUAAUGUAUCGGAACGUAUCCGGAAAUGGGGGAGAACGUAGCGAAAGUUACGCUAAUACCGCUGAUGCCCUGAGGGGGAAAGGCGGGUAUCGCAAGACCUAUCGUUUUCGGAGCGGCCGUUAUCAGAUUAGCUUGUUGGGGAGGUAAAGGCUCACCAAGGCGACGAUCUGUAGUUGGUCUGAGAGGACGACCAGCCACACUGGGACUGAGACACGGCCCAGACUCCUACGGGAGGCAGCAGUGGGGAAUUUUGGACAAUGGGGGCAACCCUGAUCCAGCCAUGCCGCGUGAGUGAAGAAGGCCUUCGGGUUGUAAAGCUCUUUCGGACAGAAAGAAAUCGCACUUACUAAUACUAGGUGUGGAUGACGGUACUGUAAGAAUAAGCACCGGCUAACUACGUGCCAGCCGCCGCCGUAA